This 502-nucleotide ribosomal RNA is filed under the name uncultured bacterium. RNAcentral's name for it is "partial 16S ribosomal RNA". It matches the Rfam family "Bacterial small subunit ribosomal RNA", at positions 899 to 1397 of the family's 1533-position model. The record is from RNAcentral.
ACUCAAAGGAAUUGACGGGGACCCGCACAAGCGGUGGAGCAUGUGGUUUAAUUCGAGGCAACGCGAAGAACCUUACCAGGCCUUGACAUGUCCAGUAUGGGCUCCAGAGACGGAGUCCUUCAGUUUGGCUGGCUGGAACACAGGUGCUGCAUGGCUGUCGUCAGCUCGUGUCGUGAGAUGUUGGGUUAAGUCCCGCAACGAGCGCAACCCUCGUCCUUAGUUGCCAUCGGGUAAUGCCGGGAACUCUAAGGAAACCGCCAGCGUUAAGCUGGAGGAAGGUGGGGAUGACGUCAAGUCCUCAUGGCCCUUACGGCCUGGGCUACACACGUGCUACAAUGGCGGUGACAGUGGGCCGCGACCUGGCAACAGGUAGCUAAUCCCAAAAAACCGUCUCAGUUCGGAUUGUCCUCUGCAACUCGAGGGCAUGAAGUUGGAAUCGCUAGUAAUCGUAGAUCAGCACGCUACGGUGAAUACGUUCCCGGGUCUUGCACACACCGCCCGU